Molecule: ribosomal RNA, 165 nt
Filed under: Triticum aestivum (bread wheat)
Lineage: Eukaryota; Viridiplantae; Streptophyta; Magnoliopsida; Poales; Poaceae
Description: partial small subunit ribosomal RNA
Source: RNAcentral
AUUCUACAAACAGCCAAAUAUGAACCUUGUCGGUCUUCUUUCCUCGUGGACAGGAAACACACCAGCGGUGUGCGCUGGGUGAUUCCAUUGUGCCUUUUGCAGUUGACCGUCUGGAUAGUUGACCGAAAUAUCACUUUGAUUCGCGUGGCCAACAGGCAAGAGUAA